GACGAACGCUGGCGGCGUGCUUAACACAUGCAAGUCGAACGAAGUGGCGAACGGGUGAGUAACGCGUAAUCAAACUGCCCUUCAGAGGGGGACAACAGUGGGAAACGACUGCUAAUACAGCAUACUGAAGGAGGGGAUUGCGUCUGAGUAGCUAGUUGGAGGGGUAACGGCCCACCAAGGCGAUGAUCAGUAGCCGGUCUUAGAGGAUGAACGGCCACAUGUGGGCUUAGACACGGCCCCGACUCCUACGGGAGGCAGCAGUGGGGAAUCUUCCGCAAUGUACGAAAGUCUGACGGAGCAACGCCGCGUGAGUGAUGACAGCCUUCGGGGUGUAAAGCUCUGUUAAUCGGGACGCGGUACCGGAAUAGAAAGCCACGGCUAACUACGUGCCAGCAGCCGCGGUAAUUC
Molecule: ribosomal RNA, 408 nt
Filed under: uncultured bacterium
Lineage: Bacteria
Description: partial 16S ribosomal RNA
Rfam family: Bacterial small subunit ribosomal RNA
Source: RNAcentral